ACCAAGAGUGGAAGCACACAGAAGCACCAUGGGAAAGAGGAAAGACUCAGUGAGGACGGCCAAAAAUGUUCAGAGUGAUGGGGAAAAUCGACACCCUGUCCUCCUAACACAGAGCAUCCUGAGUCCCCGCUGACUCACAGGCAUGAACUAGAACCAAGCAGGGAAGUGGAGGCAGGAGGCUUUCCAGGAGGGGAAACAGGUGUGAGCGAGGCACAAGAGGGGUGCUGGGUGUGGCCUCCCUGGACAUGUGCUCACCUCUGAUCACUGGGCUCUGGACCUGUUUUGGCAACUAAAAUGGUAUCCACCUCAGCCUGCACCAUUCCAUAGCCAGCCUUCCAGAGUUUGCAUGCUCUUCCAAAGGAAUGAAUUUUCUACAAAAAAAAUAACCAGCUCCCAUGGAGAGGUGUUGGUUAAAAGUGUUGUUGGGGGAAGACCAAAAAAAUUCACACAGGGAAAUAGCUGGAAGGUUUUUAUGGAAAGCUAAGUUGGACUCAGAUAGUGGAACAUUGGUCACCUGUGAUGUUUAAGAAUUAAGCUGAGCUGUCCGAGUAGACAUUUCAGAAAUGCAGCUGGAGCUACCCAGUAAAAAUCUUAAAGAAGCUUUGGAUUCCUACACUGUCUCUACAAAUCUAUAGCAAAUUCUUUAGGUGCUUUCCAUGCAUGUGUUGUAAGCUUUAAGGAAUUUUAUGGACUUCAAACAUCUUUUAUUCAUUUUUUAAUAUCUUGGUGUUAAAUACUAAUUAUAUUUUCUCUGGCAAGAUCUUACACCGUGUAGAGCAAUAUUAAUUCACACAGAGAAGCCUUGUGAUGGUUAAUAUUAAGUGACAACUUGAUUGGAUUGAAGGACGCAAAGUAUUGUUCCUGGGUGUGUCUGUGAGGGUGUUGCCAAAGGACAUUAACAUUUGAGUCAGUGGACUGGGAGAGGCAGACCCACCCUCACUCUGGGUGGGCACCAUCCCCUCAGCUGCCAGUGCUGCUGAACAAUGCAGGCAAAAGAAGGUGGAGGAGCAGACUUGCUGAGUGUUCCAACCCUCAUCUUUCUCCUGUGCUGGAUGCUUCCUGCCCUCCAAUACUGGACUCCAGGUCCUUCAGGUUUUCGACUCAGACUUACACGAGUGGUUUGCCAGGGGCUCUCAGGCCUUUGGCCAUAGACUGAAGGCUGCACUGUUGGCUUCCCUACUUUUGAGGUUUUGGGAAUCAGACUGGCUUCCUCUCUCCUCAGCUUGCAGAUGACCUAUUGUGGGACUUCACCUUGUGAUUGUGAUAUCACACUGGUCCGUUACAUUGAUGACAUUAUGCUGACUGGACCCAGUGAGCAAGAAGUAGCAAACACACUGGACUUAUGUACUGAUCCAUGGACUAUAGCCAAUGGUUUGGCUGGAUGGUCAGGGACUUGGAAGAAGCAUGAUUGAAAAAUUGGUGACAAAGAAAUUUAGGGAAAAGGUAUUUGGAUGGAUCUCUCUGAGUGAUCAAAAACUGGGAAGAUAUUUGGAUCCCAUGUGAGUGCUCAUCAAUGGGUGACCUCAGCAGAGGAGGAUUUUAAUAAUGAAAUGGAUAGGAUGACUAAUACAAAUGUCAUGUAAAAUUAAAAUUAGCAUUAAGUGCAAAGAGGGCAGCAAAACACAUCCAGACUGUUCCUCUUCCAUCAGCUGACACAAACUUCAGAAAUACCAGCUGUGGCUGGGUGUGGUGGCUCACAUCUGUAAUCCCAACCUUUUGGGAGGCUGAGGCAGGCAGAUCACUUAAGGUCAGGAGUUUGAGACCAGCCUGGCCAACAUGAUGAAAUGCUGUCUCUACUAAAAAUACAAAAAUUAGCCA
This is a long non-coding RNA of Homo sapiens (human), 1818 nucleotides long. The record is from Ensembl. Lineage: Eukaryota; Metazoa; Chordata; Mammalia; Primates; Hominidae.